GUCAGCGGCGGACGGGUGAGUAACACGUGGGUAACCUGCCUGUAAGACUGGGAUAACUCCGGGAAACCGGGGCUAAUACCGGAUGCUUGAUUGAACCGCAUGGUUCAAUCAUAAAAGGUGGCUUUUAGCUACCACUUACAGAUGGACCCGCGGCGCAUUAGCUAGUUGGUGAGGNAACGGCUCACCNAGGCGACGAUGCGUAGCCGACCUGAGAGGGUGAUCGGCCACACUGGGACUGAGACACGGCCCAGACUCCUACGGGAGGCAGCAGUAGGGAAUCUUCCGCAAUGGACGAAAGUCUGACGGAGCAACGCCGCGUGAGUGAUGAAGGUUUUCGGAUCGUAAAACUCUGUUGUUAGGGAAGAACAAGUACCGUUCGAAUAGGGCGGUACCUUGACGGUACCUAACCAGAAAGCCACGGCUAACUACGUGCCAGCAGCCGCGGUAAUACGUAGGUGGCAAGCGUUGUCCGGAAUUAUUGGGCGUAAAGCGCGCGCAGGCGGUUUCUUAAGUCUGAUGUGAAAGCCCCCGGCUCAACCGGGGAGGGUCAUUGGAAACUGGGGAACUUGAGUGCAGAAGAGGAGAGUGGAAUUCCACGUGUAGCGGUGAAAUGCGUAGAGAUGUGGAGGAACACCAGUGGCGAAGGCGACUCUCUGGUCUGUAACUGACGCUGAGGCGCGAAAGCGUGGGGAGCGAACAGGAUUAGAUACCCUGG
This 715-nucleotide ribosomal RNA is filed under the name bacterium PIII.08. Its description in RNAcentral is "bacterial SSU rRNA". It matches the Rfam family "Bacterial small subunit ribosomal RNA", at positions 91 to 790 of the family's 1533-position model. The record is from RNAcentral.